CCUACGGGAGGCAGCAGUGGGGAAUUUUGGACAAUGGACGCAAGUCUGAUCCAGCCAUUCCGCGUGCAGGACGAAGGCCUUCGGGUUGUAAACUGCUUUUGUACGGAACGAAAAAAGCUCUUAUUAAUACUAGGAGUCCAUGACGGUACCGUAAGAAUAAGCACCGGCUAACUACGUGCCAGCAGCCGCGGUAAUACGUAGGGUGCAAGCGUUAAUCGGAAUUACUGGGCGUAAAGCGUGCGCAGGCGGUUAUAUAAGACAGAUGUGAAAUCCCCGAGCUUAACUUGGGAACUGCAUUUGUGACUGUAUAGCUAGAGUACGGCAGAGGGGGAUGGAAUUCCGCGUGUAGCAGUGAAAUGCGUAGAUAUGCGGAGGAACACCGAUGGCGAAGGCAAUCCCCUGGGCCUGUACUGACGCUCAUGCACGAAAGCGUGGGGAGCAAACAGGAUUAGAUACCCUGGUAGUCCACGCCCUAAACGAUGUCAACUGGUUGUUGGGUCUUCACUGACUCAGUAACGAAGCUAACGCGUGAAGUUGACCGCCUGGGGAGUACGGCCGCAAGGUUGAAACGUCAAAGGAAUUGACGG
Molecule: ribosomal RNA, 587 nt
Filed under: uncultured bacterium
Lineage: Bacteria
Description: bacterial SSU rRNA
Rfam family: Bacterial small subunit ribosomal RNA
Source: RNAcentral